GGAUAUUUUUGUAAAAUGUGUCAAAAACAUCUAAAACUUAGAAUUUGAUAUUUAACGGAAAUUAUCUAGCAGGACAGAAAACAAAAUUUGCUUUUUUUAUAAUAUCGAUCAUUACAACUUGGCUUCUCUAGUCAAACAAUCAACCAAAUAUGUAUUAAAAUAGUUUGCUUUUUAUGGAAGAUGACAACCUUAAGGAGAAGUUUGAGGUUUCUCUCUGGGUUAUCGGAAUCCUAGCACAACUAAAAAGGAACAACAAGCAUAGGACUUAAACUCAAAAUGGGAACUUAGCGCAAACCACAUGCCGUGUACGUGUUGUAAAAGAAGCAAACUGAAAGUGAAUCUAGGUCAGAUUGCAAUGACCUGAGCGCCAACGAGCAACCCAUAAUGAGGAGCAUGAAAUGCCCAAGAAAUGAGUCUCUCAAAAGUAACAUGCAAUGGAAACAUUCGGCUAAGGCGUUCCUUCUUGUUUGUGGCUGGCAGCGUGCGAUCGACUCCACCGUGCAAGGUGAACGAAAGGCAAAUGCAGGGGAAAAGCCAAAGAGGCCAGUUAAGAAGUCAACCAACCGGGGGAAAUACGGAGAGGGAGGACGAGAGAGUGACCCGAACCGAAAGGAUUUUCUGGGCGGCAGGACGAAUUUCCAAUUGGAACUGGCU
This is a long non-coding RNA of Drosophila elegans, 654 nucleotides long. RefSeq lists it as uncharacterized. The record is from RefSeq and is a predicted model, not a curated record. The transcript has 3 exons. NCBI's taxonomy places the organism in Eukaryota, Metazoa, Arthropoda, Insecta, Diptera, Drosophilidae.